RNAcentral lists this ribosomal RNA (364 nucleotides) under uncultured Leisingera sp. RNAcentral's name for it is "bacterial SSU rRNA". It matches the Rfam family "Bacterial small subunit ribosomal RNA", at positions 113 to 511 of the family's 1533-position model. The record is from RNAcentral. Lineage: Bacteria; Pseudomonadati; Pseudomonadota; Alphaproteobacteria; Rhodobacterales; Roseobacteraceae.
ACGCGUGGGAACAUGCCCUUCUCUACGGAAUAGCCUCUGGAAACGGAGAGUAAUACCGUAUACGCCCUUUGGGGGAAAGAUUUAUCGGAGAAGGAUCGAGCCCGCGUUAGAUUAGGUAGUUGGUGGGGUAACGGACUACCAAGCCUACGAUCUAUAGCUGGUUUUAGAGGAUGAUCAGCAACACUGGGACUGAGACACGGACCAGACUCCUACGGGAGGCAGCAGAGGGGAAUCUUAGACAAUGGGGGCAACCCUGAUCUAGCCAUGCCGCGUGAGUGAUGAAGGCCUUAGGGUCGUAAAGCUCUUUCGACUGUGAUGAUAAUGACAGUAGCAGGUAAAGAAACCACGGCUAGAUCCGUGCCAG